GCCUGGGUGGCUCAGUCAGUUAAGCCUCUGACUUCAGCUCAGAUCAAGAUCUUGCAGCUUGUGAGUUCGAGCCCCACUUUGGGCC
Molecule: transfer RNA, 85 nt
Filed under: Felis catus (domestic cat)
Lineage: Eukaryota; Metazoa; Chordata; Mammalia; Carnivora; Felidae
Rfam family: tRNA
About the family: Transfer RNA (tRNA) molecules are approximately 80 nucleotides in length. Their secondary structure includes four short double-helical elements and three loops (D, anti-codon, and T loops).
Source: Rfam by way of RNAcentral